UCAGGAGAUGGAUUGAUACACGUUCAGGCAAGGACGGGGGAACCAUAAAACGGCGAACUAAACAGUUCGCCUUGGGGUGAAGCCCGGUCUCGUAACGCACAAAUGCUCAAGUCGCAGGCAGUUGCUUGCGCCUGGGGCGCCCGUGUGCACAGGGCCCGGGCCGGAUCAAAAGUUGCACUCUCUGAUCCGAAUCCGACAGCUAACUCCGCAGGUGUCCCAAAGAGAGGUAUU
This 231-nucleotide small RNA is filed under the name Arthrobacter alpinus. RNAcentral's name for it is "c-di-AMP sequence". It matches the Rfam family "c-di-AMP riboswitch aptamer (ydaO/yuaA leader)". Rfam says of the family: This family represents a conserved RNA structure found upstream of the ydaO and yuaA genes in Bacillus subtilis and related genes in other bacteria. The ydaO/yuaA element is thought to act as a genetic "off" switch for the ydaO and yuaA genes in its native state. The record is from RNAcentral. Lineage: Bacteria; Bacillati; Actinomycetota; Actinomycetes; Micrococcales; Micrococcaceae.